GUUCAUGUAUGAUCACUGAAGUUAAACAAUGUUGAGCCUAGUCAGUACCUUGAUGGGUAACCACUUAGGAAUACCAGGUGCUGUCAG
Molecule: non-coding RNA, 87 nt
Organism: Acanthosepion pharaonis
Lineage: Eukaryota; Metazoa; Mollusca; Cephalopoda; Sepiida; Sepiidae
Source: the annotation of a GenBank genome assembly